Molecule: ribosomal RNA, 253 nt
Filed under: uncultured bacterium
Lineage: Bacteria
Description: partial 16S ribosomal RNA
Rfam family: Bacterial small subunit ribosomal RNA
Source: RNAcentral
UACGAAGGGGGCUAGCGUUGCUCGGAAUCACUGGGCGUAAAGCGCACGUGGGCGGCUUCUUAAGUCAGGGGUGAAAUCCUGGAGCUCAACUCCAGAACUGCCUUUGAUACUGAGAAGCUUGAGUCCGGGAGAGGUGAGUGGAACUGCGAGUGUAGAGGUGAAAUUCGUAGAUAUCAGGAGGAACACCGGUGGCGAAAGCGGCUUCCUGGCCCGACAUUGACGCUCAUGUACGAGAGCGUGGGGAGCAAACAGG